RNAcentral lists this ribosomal RNA (476 nucleotides) under uncultured bacterium. Its description in RNAcentral is "bacterial SSU rRNA". It matches the Rfam family "Bacterial small subunit ribosomal RNA", at positions 8 to 472 of the family's 1533-position model. The record is from RNAcentral.
AGAGUUUGAUCCUGGCUCAGAACGAACGCUGGCGGCGUGGCUAAGACAUGCAAGUCGAACGGACUGCUCAAUUUAUUGGUCAGUUAGUGGCGAAAGGGUUAGUAACGGGUAGGUAACGUACCCUGUGCUUUGGGAUAGCGUCGGUUGCUUCGGCAACCUUUCCGAAAGGGGCGGUAAUACCAAAUAAUAUCAUCUGUCGACAGGCAGAUGAUCAAAGAUUUAUCGGCAUAGGAGCGGCCUGCCUCCUAUCAGCUUGUUGGUGAGGUAACGGCUCACCAAGGCAGCGACGGGUAGCGGGACUGAGAGGUUGGCCCGCAACAUCGGGACUGAGACACUGCCCGGACCUCCACGGAGGGCUGCAGUAACGAAUAUUGUGCAAUGGGCGAAAGCCUGACACAGCGACGCCGCGUGUAGGAUGAAGUCUUUCGGGAUGUAAACUACUGUCAGGGGGAAGAAAGUGCGCUUCGGCGCANUGA